RNAcentral lists this ribosomal RNA (507 nucleotides) under uncultured bacterium. Its description in RNAcentral is "partial 16S ribosomal RNA". It matches the Rfam family "Bacterial small subunit ribosomal RNA", at positions 30 to 523 of the family's 1533-position model. The record is from RNAcentral.
AUUGAACGCUGGCGGCAUGCCUUACACAUGCAAGUCGAACGGCAGCAUGACGUGUAGCAAUACACGUUGAUGGCGAGUGGCGAACGGGUGAGUAAUAUAUCGGAACGUGCCCUGUAGCGGGGGAUAACCUAUCGAAAGAUGGACUAAUACCGCAUACGCUCUACGGAGGAAAGCGGGGGUCGCAAGACCUCGCACUAUAGGAGCGGCCGAUAUCGGAUUAGCUAGUUGGCGGGGUAAAAGCCCACCAAGGCGACGAUCCGUAGCUGGUCUGCGAGGAUGAUCAGCCACACUGGAACUGAGACACGGUCCAGACUCCUACGGGAGGCAGCGGUGGGGAAUUUUGGACAAUGGGCGCAAGCCUGAUCCAGCCAUGCCGCGUGAGUGAAGAAGGCCUUCGGGUUGUAAAGCUCUUUCGGCAGGGACGAAAUGGUUCGUGCUAAUACCACGGAUUGAUGACGGUACCUGAAGAAGAAGCACCGGCUAACUACGUGCCAGCCGCCGCGGUAA